Molecule: ribosomal RNA, 465 nt
Filed under: uncultured bacterium
Lineage: Bacteria
Description: SSU rRNA
Rfam family: Bacterial small subunit ribosomal RNA
Source: RNAcentral
AGGACGAACGCUGGCGGCGUGCUUAACACAUGCAAGUCGAACGAGGUGCUUGCACCUAGUGGCGAACGGGUGAGUAACACGUGAGCAACCUGCCCUUGGCUCUGGGAUAGCCUCCGGAAACGGGGAUUAAUACCGGACAUGACCUUCUUCCGCAUGGUUGAAGGUGGAAAGUUUUUCGGCCAGGGAGGGGCUCGCGGCCUAUCAGCUUGUUGGAGGGGUAACGGCCCACCAAGGCGACGACGGGUAGCCGGCCUGAGAGGGCGACCGGCCACACUGGGACUGAGACACGGCCCAGACUCCUACGGGAGGCAGCAGUGGGGAAUAUGCGCAAUGGGGGAAACCCUGACGCAGCGACGCCGCGUGCGGGAUGAAGGCCUUCGGGUUGUAAACCGCUUUCACCAGGGACGAAGCGAGAGUGACGGUACCUGGGGAAGAAGCGCCGGCUAACUACGCGCCAGCAGCCGC